Molecule: ribosomal RNA, 201 nt
Filed under: uncultured bacterium
Lineage: Bacteria
Description: partial 16S ribosomal RNA
Rfam family: Bacterial small subunit ribosomal RNA
Source: RNAcentral
UACGUAGGGGGCAAGCGUUAUCCGGAUUUACUGGGCGUAAAGCGCGUUAAGGCGGUUGGCAAAGUUGGUGGUGAAAUUGCAGGGCUCAACCCUGCAACUGCCUCCAAUACUGGUCGACUAGAGUACGAGAGAGGAAGGUGGAAUUCCCGGUGUAGUAGUGAAAUGCGUAGAUAUCGGGAGGAACACCAGUGGCGAAAGGCG